This 614-nucleotide unclassified non-coding RNA is filed under the name Hevea brasiliensis (rubber tree). The record is from RNAcentral. Lineage: Eukaryota; Viridiplantae; Streptophyta; Magnoliopsida; Malpighiales; Euphorbiaceae.
CUGUUACACCUUGUGCUGCUUGCAAGUUAUUGAGGAGAAGGUGUGCUGAAGAGUGUCCUUUCUCUCCAUAUUUCUCUCCUCAUGAACCCCAGAAAUUUGCAGCUGUUCACAAAGUCUUUGGCGCAAGCAAUGUCUCCAAGAUGCUAAUGGAGGUACCUGAAAGCCAAAGAGCUGAUACAGCGAACAGUCUAGUCUUUGAAGCAAAUUUGAGGCUAAGAGAUCCAGUAUAUGGCUGCAUGGGUGCAAUUUCAGUUUUACAACAACAAAUUCAAUCUUUGCAAGCAGAAAUUAAUUCAGUAAGAGCUGAGAUAAUCAAAUACAAAUAUAGAGAGGCCAAUACUAAUAUCAUUUCGUCUACUGAACAUCAUCAUCCUGCUGCCUUAGUUUCUUCCGGGGAUUUGUCUUCAAUCUCUGCUCCAGCACCACAACCUCUUCCUCCACUUUCGUCUCCUCCUCCUCCUCCGCCUCCACCACCACCAACAACCGCAUCUAUUGUUGUUUCUUCAUCUUCUUCAUCUUCCAUUUCUUCCUUGUACACGCCACCCACUAGUUCUACAGGUUACAGCUCCAUUUCCAGUGUUAAUGUUCCAUACUUUGACUAAUUUAAUUAUAAG